UACAUGCAAGUCGAACGCUCUUGACCUUCGGGUCACUAAGAGAGUGGCGAACGGGUGCGUAACACGUGAGAAACCUACCCCGAAGACGGGAAUAGCCCGAGGAAACUCGGAUUAAUACCCGAUAUCUCCACACUGUCGCAUGGCAGAGUGAAGAAAGUUCAGGCGCUUCGGGAGGGUCUCGCGGCCUAUCAGCUUGUUGGUGAGGUAACGGCUCACCAAGGCAUCGACGGGUAGCUGGUCUGAGAGGAUGAUCAGCCACACUGGGACUGAGACACGGCCCAGACUCCUACGGGAGGCAGCAGUAGGGAAUCUUGCGCAAUGGGCGAAAGCCUGACGCAGCAACGCCGCGUGGGGGAUGAAUGCCUUCGGGUUGUAAACCCCUUUCAGCAGGGACGAAAUUGACGGUACCUGCAGAAGAAGGUCCGGCCAACUACGUGCCAGCAGCCGCGGUAAUACGUAGGGACCAAGCGUUGUCCGGAAUUAUUGGGCGUAAAGAGCUCGUAGGCGGUUCAGUAAGUCGGGUGUGAAAACUCAAGGCUCAACCUUGAGACGCCACUCGAUACUGCUGUGACUUGAGUCCGGUAGAGGAGUGUGGAAUUCCUGGUGUAGCGGUGAAAUGCGCAGAUAUCAGGAGGAACACCAGCGGCGAAGGCGGCACUCUGGGCCGGUACUGACGCUGAGGAGCGAAAGCAUGGGGAGCAAACAGGAUUAGAUACCCUGGUAGUCCAUGCCGUAAACGUUGGGCACUAGGUAUGGGACCAUAUCAACGGGUUCCGUGCCGUAGCUAACGCAUUAAGUGCCCCGCC
RNAcentral lists this ribosomal RNA (806 nucleotides) under uncultured Acidimicrobiales bacterium. RNAcentral describes it as "bacterial SSU rRNA". It matches the Rfam family "Bacterial small subunit ribosomal RNA", at positions 52 to 873 of the family's 1533-position model. The record is from RNAcentral. Lineage: Bacteria; Bacillati; Actinomycetota; Acidimicrobiia; Acidimicrobiales.